GAUGAACGCUGGCGGUCUGCUUAACACAUGCAAGUCGAACGAACUCUUCGGAGUGAGUGGCGGACGGGUGAGUAACGCGUGAGAAUCUGCCUGUGGGUCGGGGACAACCACUGGAAACGGUGGCUAAUACCGGAUGAGCCGAAAGGUAAAAAAUUUAUUGCCCACAGAUGAGCUCGCGUCUGAUUAGCUAGUUGGUAAGGUAAAAGCGUACCAAGGCGACGAUCAGUAGCUGGUCUGAGAGGAUGAGCAGCCACACUGGGACUGAGACACGGCCCAGACUCCUACGGGAGGCAGCAGUGGGGAAUUUUCCGCAAUGGGCGAAAGCCUGACGGAGCAAGACCGCGUGGGGGAGGAAGGUUUUUGGAUCGUAAACCCCUUUUGUCAAGGAAGAAGUUCUGACGGUACUUGACGAAUAAGCCUCGGCUAACUCCGUGCCAGCAGCCGCGGUAAUACGGAGGAGGCAAGCGUUAUCCGGAAUGAUUGGGCGUAAAGCGUCUGUAGGUGGCCAGCUAAGUCUGCUGUUAAAGAUCACAGCUCAACUGUGGGAAGGCAGUGGAAACUGGCAAGCUAGAGGCUGGUAGGGGUAAAGGGAAUUCCNGUGUANCGGUGAAAUGCGUAAAUUUCGGNAAAACACCGGUGGCGAAGCCCUUUAU
Molecule: ribosomal RNA, 653 nt
Filed under: uncultured bacterium
Lineage: Bacteria
Description: bacterial SSU rRNA
Rfam family: Bacterial small subunit ribosomal RNA
Source: RNAcentral